AAGUACGUGGGACACCAAGAAAAGGGUCCAACAGCAACCGGAGUGGGUGAUUCUCCAUGCUUUUUGAAUUCUGUUUGUGUCGAUUAUAUGGCCUCGAACAAGUCACUACAUU
Molecule: small nucleolar RNA, 112 nt
Filed under: Spinacia oleracea (spinach)
Lineage: Eukaryota; Viridiplantae; Streptophyta; Magnoliopsida; Caryophyllales; Amaranthaceae
Source: RNAcentral